Macadamia integrifolia is the source of this 406-nucleotide long non-coding RNA. RefSeq lists it as uncharacterized. The transcript is spliced from 2 exons. The record is from RefSeq and is a predicted model, not a curated record. NCBI's taxonomy places the organism in Eukaryota, Viridiplantae, Streptophyta, Magnoliopsida, Proteales, Proteaceae.
CUAGUCCUCCUAUAUAAUAACAGCCCAACAGUUUACAUUCUCCUACAGCAAUCCCCAAAAAUUAAGAAAUGGAGAAAGCAAGUUCACUAAAAUUCAGUUGCUUAGUGGUUCUGUUGGUUUUGGUCAUGGCAACAGGAGGAGACAUGCCUUGGUCGAUAGUGCGUGGGGUGGAAGCACAACGCCCAUGCCGAACCAUAAAAGACUGUGGACACAGUGCCCCUGGGGAUUAUUGCUUUGAUGUUAAAUGCCUUGACCACUUUUGUAUAUGCGAUGAUUAACAAAGAAAUAAUGCCGCAUUAGUCUCAUCAUUAUCAUUAUGUAUGCUUCUUUCAUAAUAAGACUGAUUAAUCCUUUAAUUGGAAGAGAUUAAAAGGUCAAUUAUUAGUAAAACAUGGUUAUUGUUUUA